RNAcentral lists this ribosomal RNA (443 nucleotides) under uncultured bacterium. RNAcentral describes it as "partial 16S ribosomal RNA". It matches the Rfam family "Bacterial small subunit ribosomal RNA", at positions 338 to 795 of the family's 1533-position model. The record is from RNAcentral.
CCUACGGGUGGCAGCAGUGGGGAAUAUUGGACAAUGGAGGCAAGUCUGACCCAGCAACGCCGCGUGAAGGAUGAAGGGCUUCGGCUUGUAAAGUUCUAUGAUGAGGGAUGAACACAAUGACGGUACCCCAAUAACAAGCCCCGGCUAACUACGUGCCAGCAGCCGCGGUAAUACGUAGGUGGCAAGCGUUAUCCGGAAUUACUGGGCGUAAAGGGUGCGUAGGGGGUUUGGUAAGUUGGCGGUGUAAUCCCUGGGCUCAACCCCGGCGUUGCCGCUAAAACUAUUAGACUAGAGUGCAGGGGGGGUAAGCGGAAUUCCUAGUGUAGCGGUGGAAUGCGUAGAUAUUAGGAGGAACAUCAGGGGCGAAGGCGACUUACUGGACUGUAACUGACACUGAGGCACGAAAGCGUGGGGAGCAAACAGGAUUAGAUACCCUUGUAGUC